RNAcentral lists this ribosomal RNA (178 nucleotides) under Haludaria fasciata (melon barb). RNAcentral's name for it is "partial 12S rRNA". Lineage: Eukaryota; Metazoa; Chordata; Actinopteri; Cypriniformes; Cyprinidae. The record is from RNAcentral.
CACCGCGGUUAAACGAGAGGCCCUAGUUGACAUAAUAAACGGCGUAAAGGGUGGUUAUGGAAAAACAAUAAUUAAGGCCGAAUAGCCCCCUGGCCGUUAUACGCUCCUUUAGGCGCUCGAAACCCAAUAUAUGAAAGUAGCCUUAAUAAAAUUUCCAGACCCCACGAAAGCUAAGAAA